CUCGUCUCUUCCUCUCCACGAGCUGGCGCCGCCAUGGGGAUUUCACCAGACGGAACAAUGUUCGUCGCCCGAUUCAGCCGCUACAGCCUGCCGGCAGGGGAGCUACAUCCCGUAUAGGUCAACAUCUUGCUGGGGAUUUACAGCUUGGGUGGAUGCGGUUGCUUUGGGUCAACUCCGGCGCGACCGCGCGAGGCCACCAACGCCGAUCUGCCUCCUCGCAUUCUCUGUUGGAAUCAUCCCUCAUGCCAAGCAACUUUACUAGAUGGGUCAAAUUAAAGGAAUGGUGUUGUUCAGCAAAAA
Lolium rigidum is the source of this 300-nucleotide long non-coding RNA. RefSeq lists it as uncharacterized. The transcript is spliced from 3 exons. The record is from RefSeq and is a predicted model, not a curated record. Lineage: Eukaryota; Viridiplantae; Streptophyta; Magnoliopsida; Poales; Poaceae.